This 165-nucleotide ribosomal RNA is filed under the name uncultured bacterium. RNAcentral describes it as "partial 16S rRNA". It matches the Rfam family "Bacterial small subunit ribosomal RNA", at positions 355 to 511 of the family's 1533-position model. The record is from RNAcentral.
UAGGGAAUCUUCGGCAAUGGACGAAAGUCUGACCGAGCAACGCCGCGUGAGUGAAGAAGGUUUUCGGAUCGUAAAACUCUGUUGGUAGAGAAGAACGUUGGUGAGAGUGGAAAGUUCAUCAAGUGACGGUAACUACCCAGAAAGGGACGGCUAACUACGUGCUAG